ACACGUGGGUAACCUGCCUUAUAGUGGGGGAUAGCCUUUCGAAAGGAAGAUUAAUACCGCAUAAGAUUGUAGUAUCGCAUGAUAUAGCAAUUAAAGGAGCAAUCCGCUAUAAGAUGGACCCGCGUCGCAUUAGCUAGUUGGUGAGGUAAUGGCUCACCAAGGCGACGAUGCGUAGCCGACCUGAGAGGGUGAACGGCCACAUUGGGACUGAGACACGGUCCAGACUCCUACGGGAGGCAGCAUG
RNAcentral lists this ribosomal RNA (244 nucleotides) under uncultured bacterium. RNAcentral describes it as "partial 16S ribosomal RNA". It matches the Rfam family "Bacterial small subunit ribosomal RNA", at positions 113 to 353 of the family's 1533-position model. The record is from RNAcentral.